GGUGAGAUGGCCGAGCGGCAAGGCAGCAGAUUGCUAAUCUGUAGGGUGUUAUAGCCCCGUGGGUUCGAAUCCCUCUCUCACCGCCA
RNAcentral lists this transfer RNA (86 nucleotides) under Deltaproteobacteria bacterium. RNAcentral describes it as "tRNA-Ser". It matches the Rfam family "tRNA". From Rfam's summary of the family: Transfer RNA (tRNA) molecules are approximately 80 nucleotides in length. Their secondary structure includes four short double-helical elements and three loops (D, anti-codon, and T loops). The record is from RNAcentral. Lineage: Bacteria; Pseudomonadati; Myxococcota; Myxococcia. RNAcentral also lists the same sequence under 1 other name.